This is a non-coding RNA of Parasteatoda tepidariorum (common house spider), 1250 nucleotides long. The record is from RefSeq and is a predicted model, not a curated record. Lineage: Eukaryota; Metazoa; Arthropoda; Arachnida; Araneae; Theridiidae.
UUAAUUAUCCUAAUAUAGCACACACAUUUGCACAGUGAGUCUGUGUUUCAUUUUAAUAUAUUGUGUAUAAUACAGGAAAAACAUGGGGAACUUCUUUCUAGAUUUGAGUUACAACCCUGCUAAUUUUAAAGCUGCUUAUUGUAACUCACGAACUAUGUUAGUUAUAGGAACUCUUAAUUUGAGCAACUGUGAUUAAUAGUAGUACCAAUUAUUAUUUAGAAAUUACUUUUUUACUUGAUUUUUUAGUUAAAGUUCUUUUCCAUUAUUAUAAAUGAGUAUCAUUUUUAAUUAGGCACACGGGCCAUAAAAAUGAGAGGUAAAGGAUAGAAAGUUUCCUCAAUGACACAAAUUCUCAGGCAGUUUCUGGAUCUGAAGAUGGUUGUGUUUACAUGUGGGACCUAAUUGAAGAGAUGCAAACAGGGAUACUAUAGGCUCUCAGUCAUUGAAUGCAAACACGAAAAAGAAAAUUCCCUGCUUGGGUUACCAACACAGUAGCUGGGAUUGAAAGAAGGCAUCGAGAGAAGAUGGAAAUUUUUAACAAAUACUUAAACUUUGAAUUGAAAAUAAUUGAAAAAUGAUUUGACACUUAUUUUAAAAUCUUGCUACAGACUUCUCUGCUUGUAACCAUUUCUGUGUUUAAAUAUUUUAUUAUUUGCUACCCCAUUUUUAAUUCGGUGCUUUUCAAAAACAAUUUUUCAUCAAACUUCUUAAAAAAUUUAAUACAAAUAACUAACUAAUCCAAAAAUAAGAUUUCUUUUUUCUAUAUGAGUCAUUCGAUUGCAAAACUUGUUUAAGUUAGAUUGAAUUUUUCUCCUAAAUUUUAUUGGUCGAAAUAAUAACAUUUUUUAACUAAUUUAUCCAGCUAACUACUUGAAAUUUGUAUGAAAGUUUAUAAUAAAAGUUAAAAUUUCAUUUUGGGGGUAAAAAAAAAAACUUGUUCUGAUUUCAAUUCAAGUAAAAAUAAAUGAAAACGUUGAGGAGGAAUAACUAGUUUUGCUUUUGGAUUAUUCAUUCAACAUUACCCAUUUGUUAUUCACCCAUAUCAGUUUAAAUAUUAAAGCUAUUAAUAGAAAUCUGGAAAAAAUAAAUAUGAUCUUUUCAUCACUGCACACAAUUAUAUCUACAAAAAAGAUUGCUUUCUAAUAUUGUAUCAAUGUAGUUAAAGCAAAAUAUAUCAAUACAACAGUGUGAGGAGCACUUAAAAAAUAAAAAAAGCAAUCCUUUUUGCAGAAAUAAUCAUGUGAGCUGAU